This is a long non-coding RNA of Callithrix jacchus (white-tufted-ear marmoset), 2169 nucleotides long. The record is from Ensembl. Lineage: Eukaryota; Metazoa; Chordata; Mammalia; Primates; Cebidae.
AUUUGAAAUGAAUCUUAAAGGACAUGUAAUCUGCCAAACUGAGAAAGAGAUGAAGGAAAGUCUUGGAAGAGGGAAAGAGCAUAAGAUAUCAUCAAAAGUGUGUCUGCAACUGUCUCUUCAGAUACUACCUGGAUAGAGAGUCCCAGUAACCAGGAAAAUCACAGAUGUUAGUCAGAGCUGAAAAUAUUCUUCAACCAAUUUUGCAUUUUACAGAUGUUGUAUCUGAAGCCCAAGCUUAGACUAACUUUCACAAAAUCACAAAGUUAUUAAUAAAAACUCAAGGACUGAAUUCAGGUCCACUUAUUCUUACUUCACUGCUUUUCUACUAUAAUAAUCUGCCUCCAUAAAGCAACAAGGAUAGUUUUUAAAACAAAACAGAAACAAAAAAAAAAUUCCUGGAGACGGAUCCAAGAUGGCUGAUUAGGAGCAGCUCAGGAUUGCAGCUCCCAGCGAAAGCGUGGAGGCAUUGCAAAGUCAAAAUAGCUGUGGAGGAACAAGCUGUUCUGCCUCAUGUCUCAUCAACAUUCCUUGCUCAGUGUAUCAAAACACAGAGUGCAUACAGAGCAAAUGCAACAACUCUUCAAAAAGUUCCCUGUUGGGGAUUUUCUUCUCGGGAAACCAUCCACAACUGCCUACUUAAAACAUCAAAAGAAAGGUUUCUGAAGGCCUGUACUCAGCACUACCUGUGGCCACAUUGUGGAAGGAAAAGCUGAGACCCAGCUGGACUAGUGUAAAGCUCAAGUCCCGAGCACAAGAGGUGACAAUUCUGCAGGAGAAGAGUGCCAUCUGCAGGAAGACUGUAUAAGAGCUGGCAAAGCCUCAGAGUUAACAAAAAUGAGACAAUUCAUUAGUGGAGAUUCCAUACUCAGCAAAUUGUCUGGCAUACAGUAAACUCAAUAAAUUAUUUUUGUUAUUUGAAUGGUAGUAAUGAUGGCAAUAUAUAAUUUUGCAUUGCAUCUCCUGACAUUUAAAAAUCAAAACAAAUCAAACGUCCAAGGAAGGAAGAACCAGAGACUACUCAGAUUAUUCAGAUCAUUGUUCUGUUUUUCAUAGGAACCCUUCCAGAUAUGUAAGAAUCUACAUAAUUUUUAAGAUCUUAUAGAAGGAAAUUCCACAACCUCUUAUAUUCAUACUAUAGCUCUACAAUCUUCAGCAGGGCCAGGGCCAGGGCCAGGAAACUUAGUUAUAUAAAUUUAGUUUGUAACACUCUCCUUCCUCCCCUUCCAGAAUCGUUAAUAGCCCUCAUUUUAGAACACACUUUCUUUCAUCUGUUCAAUAAAUAUUUUUGUGCACCUGCUAUGUUCCAGGUUCUGUGAUAUUUAACCUGCAUACAAUGGUGAACCCACCAUAUUUCCUGUCUUUCAAGAGUUUACAGUCAGUUGAUCCUAUGAUGCUCCUGCUUCCUUUUUCCUGUCUCCCACCCUCUUUUUCAGCUCCUCUUUCCUUCUUUCUUAUAAAUGCUUCAUGCUAGAAAAUUCCCACAAUCCCCCUCACUACCAACAAAACCAAACUUUAUUUUCUCAGGGUUCUACUCUAGGUAGUGACUAGCUAAUCUGACAAAUGAUUUCAUGACACUUGCUAAUUGAUCUCAUCAUCAAAGUAAUUUGAACACAUUUUAGUGAGGUAUUUCUGAAGACACAACAAUCAUUUAGGCUUCUGUGUUGGACUAAUGGAGAUGAUUUGUGAGUUAGGAAGGGCCUUGUGGUUCAUGUGGCACCUGGUCCUCCAAAGAGCAAAACCAACCUUGAUUUUUUUUGUUUUAUGUCAUUAUUUCAACCUAUUUCUCAAUUUGCCACAAUAGAGUAAAAUAAUUCUAUUAAAGAUGUGUCCAGUCACCUUUCAAUAUAGAGUAGCUCCUUUAAAUUCUUGAUAAAUGUCUCUUCUUAUUCUUUUCUCUGAUAGUCUCCUAAUAAUUCAAAAUGCCAUUGAAAACAGAAACAUUACAUUAACUUGCAUUUUCAUCUUUUAUGCAUAUUUUCCUAAAUUUUAUAUAGCAAAUAGAAGAUAAAGCCACCACUGAACUUCCUCAGUUUUAUAAGUUCAAAUCAAAUAUGAGAUGACUGUAAUCUACUAUUCCUGUCUAUUGUAAGAGGUGAUUUCUACUAUAAGUAGUUCCUGAGGCAUGUUCUUAUCCAUUCUUCAAGGUGACAUUUCUUUAAUGCUACAAAU